CCUACGGGGGGCAGCAGUGGGGAAUAUUGCGCAAUGGGCGAAAGCCUGACGCAGCGACGCCACGUGAGGGAUGAAGGUCUUCGGAUCGUAAACCUCUGUCAGCAGGGAAGAACGGUCACUGUGCUAAUCAUCAGUGAAUUGACGGUACCUGCAAAGGAAGCACCGACUAACUCCGUGCCAGCAGCCGCGGUAAUACGGAGGGUGCGAGCGUUAAUCGGAAUUACUGGGCGUAAAGCGCUCGUAGGCGGUAUGUCAAGUCAAGGGUGAAAUCCCCGCGCUCAACGUGGGAACUGCCUUUGAAACUGGCAAACUGGAGUGUGUGAGAGGAUAGUGGAAUUCCAGGUGUAGGAGUGAAAGCCGUAGAUAUCUGGAGGAACAUCAGUGGCGAAGGCGACUAUCUGGCACAUAACUGACGCUGAGGAGCGAAAGCGUGGGUAGCAAACAGGAUUAGAUACCCGGGUAGUC
Molecule: ribosomal RNA, 465 nt
Filed under: uncultured bacterium
Lineage: Bacteria
Description: partial 16S ribosomal RNA
Rfam family: Bacterial small subunit ribosomal RNA
Source: RNAcentral